UUUGUUGGCGCAACCUGAG
RNAcentral lists this ribosomal RNA (19 nucleotides) under Litoditis mediterranea. RNAcentral describes it as "partial 28S ribosomal RNA". The record is from RNAcentral. Lineage: Eukaryota; Metazoa; Nematoda; Chromadorea; Rhabditida; Rhabditidae.